RNAcentral lists this ribosomal RNA (494 nucleotides) under uncultured bacterium. RNAcentral's name for it is "partial 16S ribosomal RNA". It matches the Rfam family "Bacterial small subunit ribosomal RNA", at positions 28 to 507 of the family's 1533-position model. The record is from RNAcentral.
GACGAACGCUGGCGGCGUGCUUAACACAUGCAAGUCGAACGGUGAAGCGCCUUCCUUUUUGGUGGGUGUGGAUGAGUGGCGAACGGGUGAGUAACACGUGAGUAACCUGCCCCCUUCUUCUGGAUAACCGCAUGAAAGUGUGGCUAAUACGGGAUAUUCUGGGUCUGUCGCAUGAUGGGUCUGGGAAAGAUAUUGUUUCGGUGGGGGAUGGGCUCGCGGCCUAUCAGCUUGUUGGGGGGGUGAUGGCCUACCAAGGCGGUGACGGGUAGCCGGCCUGAGAGGGUGGACGGUCACACUGGGACUGAGACACGGCCCAGACUCCUACGGGAGGCAGCAGUGGGGAAUAUUGCACAAUGGGCGAAAGCCUGAAGCAGCGACGCCGCGUGAGGGAUGGAGGCCUUCGGGUUGUGAACCUCUUUCGCCAGUGAAGCAGGCCUGCCUAGUUUGUGGGUGGGUUGACGGUGGCUGGAUAAGAAGCGCCGGCUAACUACGUG